This 301-nucleotide ribosomal RNA is filed under the name uncultured bacterium. RNAcentral describes it as "partial 16S ribosomal RNA". It matches the Rfam family "Bacterial small subunit ribosomal RNA", at positions 509 to 807 of the family's 1533-position model. The record is from RNAcentral.
CAGUCGCCACGGGAAUACGAAGGGGGCUAGCGUUGUUCGGAAUUACUGGGCGUAAAGCGCGUGUAGGCGGGUCCUUAAGUCAGGGGUGAAAUGCCAAGGCUCAACCUUGGAACUGCCUUUGAUACUGGGGAUCUUGAGUCCGGGAGAGGUGAGUGGAACUGCGAGUGUAGAGGUGAAAUUCGUAGAUGUUCGCAAGAACACCAGUGGCGAAGGCGGCUCACUGGCCCGGAACUGACGCUGAGACGCGAAAGCGUGGGGAGCAAACAGGAUUAGAUACCCCCGUAGUCCCUGUCUCUUAUAC